RNAcentral lists this long non-coding RNA (1322 nucleotides) under Homo sapiens (human). Its description in RNAcentral is "HSALNT0402468". The record is from RNAcentral. Lineage: Eukaryota; Metazoa; Chordata; Mammalia; Primates; Hominidae.
CAUAGCCACCUCCCGGGACCCUGAACUCCACAGUGGCAGCUGCCCCCUCUAUGCGCAGCUGCCCCCUCCAGGACGCACCCCCCUCUCCACUCUGGCCCCUGCCCCUUCUGUCUGGUUUCAGCCUGGCAGCCUCAUCCUUUGGCAACGUCUCCAAAACUCUCAGUCAAAUGGGAACAGCAAGGCCUGCCCAUCAACUGCUACAAACACAGGAACAAGCAAAACCCCUGGGGCAGAAGGCACCGAUCAGCCUUCCCCUCUCCUCACUCUCGGCCACCUCCUCCAGACCCCAACGCAGAGGGCUUCUCUCUGCCAGUUAAACCCGGAGCCAAGCAACAGGAGCUCCUCGGAUCACCUUCUUUCCAGCCUCGUCCUGGCUGCCAGGAGGCUCCGUUUCUCCUUCCUCCCGGGUUGCAGGCACCUCCUCCCGCCAGUGACUUCCACCAUGAUUGCUCUUCCCAUUCACGUCCCACGCGAUUACCUCACUCACUGAUCCUUCUUCAAUUUCCCCUCAGAUGCUCAAGUUCACACCCCACCAAAAUUCCCCCAAAUGCAUGUGUUCUGGGAUGUGAAGGGGACGUGUCCAACGUCCAGGUCCUUCGUCACAGCCAUAAAGGAGGCCAUGCGUGGGACACGCCCUCAUUCCAGGCAAUGUGAGAGACGCCUUCACCUUGACCGUGUUGCUGCCUCUCGUUCCAACCGUGCUCAGAACCAGGAGCCGGCGGGGACGGAGCCACAGAGCAGCCGCUUCCCCGUGUCCGCGCCCCUGUACUGUCUUCACACUCGCCAUCACCUUGCACACCCUGCGGCACCACACGACCGCCACGGAGCCUGUGGGGCCCUCCUGUGUCUCAAACCCGAGCCCUUCCCCGGCGCCCACAUCCAGGUUGCCAACUAGGAGGAGGCAGGCCUGGGGCACUGGCAGGAGGACGGGUGGGCACAGGAAAACCUGCCUGAAGAUGAGGUCAUGAGGAAGGCAGCACAGAAGGAUGGGAGAAGAGGCCUUAAGACACAUAAUACCAUGACCUUUCACGCUAUGAGCAGCUGACAUCGGUGUGUCCCUGCUGCGAGCCCACGCCUGACUCCACCAUGCUGUGGCCACAUGCUACUCUGACCCACAGCUCCUCCCUGGGCAGACAAGCCACGCGGCUGUGACACAAGCUGCCACGGAUCAAAAAGGAAAAAACAAGUCCUCGAUGUGCGGAGCUAUUUAGUGAGCACAGGGCACUCUACCAAGAAGGAUAAGAUGUCUGUUUAAAAACCAAAAAGCAAAAAAGAAGAAAACCUGGCCAUGCAUGGCGGCUCACGCAUCAGCACUUCGGGAG